UCGAGCGGAUGACGGGAGCUUGCUCCUUGAUUCAGCGGCGGACGGGUGAGUAAUGCCUAGGAAUCUGCCUGGUAGUGGGGGACAACGUUUCGAAAGGAACGCUAAUACCGCAUACGUCCUACGGGAGAAAGCAGGGGACCUUCGGGCCUUGCGCUAUCAGAUGAGCCUAGGUCGGAUUAGCUAGUUGGUGGGGUAAUGGCUCACCAAGGCGACGAUCCGUAACUGGUCUGAGAGGAUGAUCAGUCACACUGGAACUGAGACACGGUCCAGACUCCUACGGGAGGCAGCAGUGGGGAAUAUUGGACAAUGGGCGAAAGCCUGAUCCAGCCAUGCCGCGUGUGUGAAGAAGGUCUUCGGAUUGUAAAGCACUUUAAGUUGGGAGGAAGGGCAGUAAGCUAAUACCUUGCUGUUUUGACGUUACCGACAGAAUAAGCACCGGCUAACUCUGUGCCAGCAGCCGCGGUAAUACAGAGGGUGCAAGCGUUAAUCGGAAUUACUGGGCGUAAAGCGCGCGUAGGUGGUUCGUUAAGUUGGAUGUGAAAGCCCCGGGCUCAACCUGGGAACUGCAUCCAAAACUGGCGAGCUAGAGUACGGUAGAGGGUGGUGGAAUUUCCUGUGUAGCGGUGAAUGCGUAGAUAUAGGAAGGAACACCAGUGGCGAAGGCGACCACCUGGACUGAUACUGACACUGAGGUGCGAAAGCGUGGGGAGCAAACAGGAU
Molecule: ribosomal RNA, 720 nt
Filed under: Pseudomonas putida
Lineage: Bacteria; Pseudomonadati; Pseudomonadota; Gammaproteobacteria; Pseudomonadales; Pseudomonadaceae
Description: bacterial SSU rRNA
Rfam family: Bacterial small subunit ribosomal RNA
Source: RNAcentral